GUGGGGAAUUUUGGACAAUGGGGGCAACCCUGAUCCAGCCAUGCCGCGUGCGGGAAGAAGGCCUUCGGGUUGUAAACCGCUUUUGUCAGGGAAGAAACGCUCUGGGCUAAUACCCCGGAGUAAUGACGGUACCUGAAGAAUAAGCACCGGCUAACUACGUGCCAGCAGCCGCGGUAAUACGUAGGGUGCAAGCGUUAAUCGGAAUUACUGGGCGUAAAGCGUGCGCAGGCGGCUUUGCAAGACAGAUGUGAAAUCCCCGGGCUUAACCUGGGAACUGCAUUUGUGACUGCAUGGCUGGAGUGCGGCAGAGGGGGAUGGAAUUCCGCGUGUAGCAGUGAAAUGCGUAGAUAUGCGGAGGAACACCGAUGGCGAAGGCAAUCCCCUGGGCCUGCACUGACGCUCAUGCACGAAAGCGUGGGGAGCAAACAGGAUUAGAUACCCGAGUAGUCC
RNAcentral lists this ribosomal RNA (450 nucleotides) under uncultured bacterium. Its description in RNAcentral is "bacterial SSU rRNA". It matches the Rfam family "Bacterial small subunit ribosomal RNA", at positions 354 to 796 of the family's 1533-position model. The record is from RNAcentral.